CCUGAGAUCAAAAUAGAUAAGGAUAGCAUGACAAACCCUUCCAAAAAAAAUCUGGAUCUUCAUCUCAGAUUUUGAGAAAAUUCCAAGGCUAUAGGCUUACUGUUUUUUUCGGCAAAAAAGUAAAGCAUUUGCUAGAAUAAUUCUAGGACGCUUUUCCUACGUGAAAAAGCGUAUCGAACAAGAGGCCGUCAAUGAAAUUGAGCUGGCGUAAGAUUCCAUCGAGAUUCGAAUUCCUGAGAUCAAAAUACAUAAG
Long non-coding RNA from Athalia rosae (coleseed sawfly), 253 nucleotides. RefSeq lists it as uncharacterized. The transcript is spliced from 2 exons. The record is from RefSeq and is a predicted model, not a curated record. NCBI's taxonomy places the organism in Eukaryota, Metazoa, Arthropoda, Insecta, Hymenoptera, Athaliidae.